GACGAACGCUGGCGGCGUGCUUAACACAUGCAAGUCGAACGGAAAGGCCCUGCUUUUGUGGGGUGCUCGAGUGGCGAACGGGUGAGUAACACGUGAGUAACCUGCCCUUGACUUUGGGAUAACUUCAGGAAACUGGGGCUAAUACCGGAUAGGAGCUCCUGCUGCAUGGUGGGGGUUGGAAAGUUUCGGCGGUUGGGGAUGGACUCGCGGCUUAUCAGCUUGUUGGUGGGGUAGUGGCUUACCAAGGCUUUGACGGGUAGCCGGCCUGGGAGGGUGACCGGGGCAAAUGGGAAUGGGGGAGGGGCCAGAGCCCAGAGGGGGAGAAGGGGGGGGAAAAUUGGCAAAAGGGGCGGAGCGUGGAACGAAGAACGCCGGGUGGGGGAGGACGGCUUGGGGGUGGGAAACGCAUUAAGCGUGGAACGAGGGGUGGGGAAGGGAAAAGGAGAAAAAGCAACGGGUAAAUUAGGG
This 468-nucleotide ribosomal RNA is filed under the name uncultured bacterium. Its description in RNAcentral is "partial 16S ribosomal RNA". The stretch from base 20 to 330 matches the Rfam family "Bacterial small subunit ribosomal RNA", at positions 47 to 358 of the family's 1533-position model. The record is from RNAcentral.